Molecule: ribosomal RNA, 329 nt
Filed under: uncultured eukaryote
Lineage: Eukaryota
Description: partial 18S ribosomal RNA
Rfam family: Eukaryotic small subunit ribosomal RNA
Source: RNAcentral
CCCUUAGAUGUUCUGGGCCGCACGCGCGCUACACUGAUGCAUUCAACGAGUCUAAAACCUGCUCUGAUAGGGGUGGGUAAUCUUUUGAAUGUGCAUCGUGAUUGGGAUAGAUGAUUGCAAUUUUUCAUCUUCAACGAGGAAUGCCUAGUAAACGCAAGUCAUCAGCUUGCAUUGAUUACGUUCCUGCCAUUUGUACACACCGCCCGUCGCUCCUACCGAUUGAAUGAUCCGAUGAAUAUCAUGGAUUGAGGAUGCAAGUAGGUUAGCCUAUCUUCAUCUUCGAGAAGUGAAGUAAAUCUUAUCAUUUAGAGGAAGGAGAAGUCGUAACA